UGGGGAAUAUUGCACAAUGGGCGAAAGCCUGAUGCAGCAACGCCGCGUGGAGGAUGAAGGCCUUCGGGUUGUAAACUCUUGUCUUCUGGGACGAUAAUGACGGUACCAGAGGAGGAAGCCACGGCUAACUACGUGCCAGCAGCCGCGGUAAUACGUAGGUGGCAAGCGUUGUCCGGAUUUACUGGGCGUAAAGGAUGCGUAGGCGGAUAUUUAAGUGGGAUGUGAAAUACCCGGGCUCAACCUGGGUGCUGCAUUCCAAACUGGAUAUCUGGAGUGCGGGAGAGGACAGUGGAAUUCCUAGUGUAGCGGUGAAAUGCGUAGAGAUUAGGAAGAACACCAGUGGCGAAGGCGACUUUCUGGACCGUAACUGACGCUGAGGCAUGAAAGCGUGGGGAGCAAACA
RNAcentral lists this ribosomal RNA (402 nucleotides) under uncultured bacterium. RNAcentral's name for it is "bacterial SSU rRNA". It matches the Rfam family "Bacterial small subunit ribosomal RNA", at positions 355 to 774 of the family's 1533-position model. The record is from RNAcentral.